GAAAAGCGUCUAGCGAGACGGACAGGUAACCGUACUAAAACCACCACAGGUAGACAGGUAGAAAAUACUAAGGCGCGUGAGACAACUCUCGUUAAGGAACUCUGCAAAAUGGCUUCGUAACUUUGGAAGAAGAAGUGCCUAAGGCUGUAAUACUUCUAGCAAGUAAAGCGGUCUAAGGUCGCAGUGAACCGAUUCAAUCGACUGUUUAUCAAAAACACAGGUCAAUGCUAAACUGUAAAGUGAUGUAUAUUGGCUGACGCCUGCCCAGUGCUGGAAGGUUAAUAGGAGAUGUUAAUGCCGCUUGCGGUGUGACGCAUCGAAUUGAAGCCCCAGUGAACGGCGGCCGUAACUAUAACGGUCCUAAGGUAGCGAAAUUCCUUGUCGGGUAAGUUCCGACCCGCACGAAAGGCGUAACGAAUUGAAUACUGUCUCAACGAGAGACUCAGUGAAAUUGAAGUGUCCGUGAAGAUACGGACUACCUACAGCUAGACAGAAAGACCCCGUGGAGCUUUACUGUAACUUGGCUUUGUAAUUUGAAUUAAUUUGUGCAGGAUAGGUGGGAGACUAUGAGACUGGCCCGCUAGGGCUAGUGGAGUCGCUGGUGAGAUACCACCCUGAUUCGUUUAGAUUACUAACUUGUCUGUUGAAACGACAGAAAGGACAUAGUCUGGUGGGCAGUUUGACUGGGGCGGUCGCCUCCUAAACAGUAACGGAGGCGCUCAAAGGUUCUCUCAAAACGGUUGGAAACCGUUUGUAGAGCGUAAGGGUAGAAGAGAGCUUAACUGUGAGACCUACAAGUCGAACAGAGACGAAAGUCGGACCUAGUGAUCCGGUGAUACCGAAUGGAAGGGUCAUCGCUCAACGGAUAAAAGUUACCCCGGGGAUAACAGGCUUAUCUCCCCCAAGAGUCCAUAUCGACGGGGAGGUUUGGCACCUCGAUGUCGGCUCGUCGCAUCCUGGAGCUGAAGAAGGUUCCAAGGGUUGGGCUGUUCGCCCAUUAAAGCGGUACGUGAGCUGGGUUCAGAACGUCGUGAGACAGUUUGGUCCAUAUCUGCUGUAGGCGUUGGAAAUUUGAGAGGCGCUGUUCCUAGUACGAGAGGACCGGAACGGACAUACCGCUGGUGUAUCAGUUAUCGUGCCAACGGUAAAUGCUGAGUAGCUAUGUAUGGAAAAGGUAACCGCUGAAAGCAUCUAAGCGGGAAACUUACCUCAAGAUGAGAUUUCCCAUUUCUAUAAGUAAUUAUAAGAAAGUAAGACCUCUUGAAGACAACAAGGUUGAUAGGCUAGGUGUGUAAGCAUAGUAAUAUGUAUAGCGGACUAGUACUAAUUGGUCGAGGUCUUAACUAU
RNAcentral lists this ribosomal RNA (1347 nucleotides) under marine metagenome. RNAcentral's name for it is "bacterial LSU rRNA". It matches the Rfam family "Bacterial large subunit ribosomal RNA", at positions 1612 to 2925 of the family's 2925-position model. The record is from RNAcentral.